GUGAGGAAUAUUGGACAAUGGGCGCAAGCCUGAUCCAGCCAUGCCGCGUGCAGGAAGACGCAUCUAUGGUGUGUAAACUGCUUUUGUACGGGAAGAAACACUCCCUCGUGAGGGAGCUUGACUGUACCGUAAGAAUAAGGAUCGGCCAACUCCGUGCCAGCAGCCGCGGUAAUACGGAGGAUCCAAGCGUUAUCCGGAAUCAUUGGGUUUAAAGGGUCCGUAGGCGGUUUAAUAAGUCUGUGGUGAAAUCCCAUUGCUCAACGAUGGAACGGCCAUGGAUACUGUUAGACUUGAAUUACAAGGAAGUAACUAGAAUAUGUAGUGUAGCGGUGAAAUGCUUAGAUAUGACAUAGAAUACCAAUUGCGAAGGCAGGUUACUACUUGUGGAUUGACGCUGAUGGACGAAAGCGUGGGGAGCGAACAGGAUUAGAAACCCGAGUAGUCC
Molecule: ribosomal RNA, 445 nt
Filed under: uncultured bacterium
Lineage: Bacteria
Description: partial 16S ribosomal RNA
Rfam family: Bacterial small subunit ribosomal RNA
Source: RNAcentral